UCGAACACAUGUCAUUUCAUCACCAUGGGGGCAGCCAUUUUUAAAUUAAUACAAUAGAAAGAAACAUGCUAAAAACUCACUCAUCGCCUAAUUGACAUUCCAAACGGUUGACGAUGACAAAUGCAUUGGAUUGUAAUCUUUCCUUUGAUGUUUGCAAACUGCACGAUCAGACCUCAUAAACACUCAAAAGAAUAACUAUGUAAGAAGCAUUUUACCAAUGUUUACAAUCGUUGUCGAAUCACUGUACUUAUAUUAUUGCGCAUAAAAUAGUACGCUUACAGACUGACAGAAAGAUCGAUACAUAACUCCGUUCAAUUCAUCACGGUAUACAAUUCUAUCGAUAAUAUAUAAUAAUACAUCGCUUUAACAAUCUAAAAGUAGAAAUAAUUCUUUUAAACGGAGUUUUUAAUAACGAAAGUGAAAACAACGGAAGUUGGAUGGAUAUUCUGUGAGAUGCACUUCGGCUCCAGAAAAACAAAACAAAUAAACUAAAAAAGACGUGUGGGGGACAAUUUUCAGCUGGAAAAUAUUUGCAAUAGGGUAUGGCUCAAUGCUCCGAAUGCGGAAAAAUGUCGAAGACCAGAGCUGGAUUAUUGAGCCACAUUAGGGGACACGCUAACUCUGUAAACUAUAACUGUUGUGGGAAAGCAUUUCAGGAUGCCUACAAUCUUAGAAGGCUUCAAAGAACAAAGGACCCCAAUGUCACGUGUGUGUACGGUGCGGCAGGAGCUUUGCGGACAAGUACUUACUCGUGGCUAGAGGAAAAGUGCAAAAAAGAGGGAUUGGUGAAAUGUUACCAGUGUGGGUUGGCAGUUAGGAGUGAGAAUAACCUCAGAGAGCACGUCAAUACCCACAUGCAUGACAAGUGUUACAGUAGUGAGGAGUGUUUCAAAACGUACAAACGCCAAACAAACCUUUCUCGAUACGUGAGGACUUCACAUAAAUCCGUGAAUACUGAUUAAAAAUCAUAAUAGUUUACAGUUUGUCUGUGUAACUUCAUUAUCGUUUUACGUUAUUUUAUUCGUUGUUUUACUUUAACUUUACUUUUCAAAAUGAUUCUAAAGUUAUCCGAAUUUGAUUAAUUUUUAGGUUUCGUUUAGUUCGUUUGUGUGUUUGAAAUCAUC
This is a long non-coding RNA of Dreissena polymorpha, 1124 nucleotides long. RefSeq lists it as uncharacterized. NCBI's taxonomy places the organism in Eukaryota, Metazoa, Mollusca, Bivalvia, Myida, Dreissenidae. The record is from RefSeq and is a predicted model, not a curated record. The transcript is spliced from 3 exons.